AUACGGAGGGUGCAAGCGUUGUUCGGAAUCACUGGGCGUAAAGGGCGCGCAGGCGGUUUGGUAAGUCAGAUGUGAAAGCCCACGGCUCAACCGUGGAAGUGCAUUUGAAACUGCCAGACUUGAGUACCAGAGGGGAAAGUGGAAUUCCCGGUGUAGAGGUGAAAUUCGCAGAUAUCGGGAGGAAUACCGGUGGCGAAGGCGACUUUCUGGCUGGAUACUGACGCUGAGGCGCGAAAGCGUGGGGAGCAAACAGGAUUAGAAACCCUAGUAGUCC
RNAcentral lists this ribosomal RNA (274 nucleotides) under uncultured bacterium. RNAcentral describes it as "partial 16S ribosomal RNA". It matches the Rfam family "Bacterial small subunit ribosomal RNA", at positions 523 to 796 of the family's 1533-position model. The record is from RNAcentral.